GUGUGUGUAAGUUUAGAGCACACUGGAUCUUCACCAAGGACAUGCAUGAAACGGAAAGGCAUUUAAGAUGAAGUAGCAAAUUUUUGAACAUUGAACUUAAUUGGUGGCUGUAUGUGUUUAUGUGAAUAGUUACGUAGGUGAUAGUUUUUGUUUUAACACGAUGAUGAUGGCCAGCUGAAUUCGUGAGCACGUGUGCACUGUGGCAAAAACCUCAAAACAAAAACCAAAAACGAGGCCUCCGAGAGCUCCCUGGGUCUCAGCCCUGUGAGGGCGCACAGUCGGGGCUGUCUGAAGCAGGAAGCAGGCCCUCCGCAGACAGGGUAAUGCACACUCCAUGCGUUCAGCCCGUUCUCCCGGUCAUCACGGUCUGGUUUCUUAACAUCCUGAAGGAAGAUGCGGCCACCUCGUGGAUUCUGCAG
Tupaia belangeri chinensis (Chinese tree shrew) is the source of this 419-nucleotide long non-coding RNA. RefSeq lists it as uncharacterized. Lineage: Eukaryota; Metazoa; Chordata; Mammalia; Scandentia; Tupaiidae. The record is from RefSeq and is a predicted model, not a curated record. The transcript has 3 exons.